CUUAAAUUGAAGAGUUUGAUCAUGGCUCAGAUUGAACGCUGGCGGCAGGCCUAACACAUGCAAGUCGAGCGGUAACGAGUUUCAAAAGCUUGCUUUUGAAGAUGACGAGCGGCGGACGGGUGAGUAAUGCCUAGGAAAUUGCCCUGAUGUGGGGGAUAACCAUUGGAAACGAUGGCUAAUACCGCAUGAUGCCUACGGGCCAAAGAGGGGGAACUUAGGGCCUCAGGCG
RNAcentral lists this ribosomal RNA (229 nucleotides) under Vibrio parahaemolyticus. Its description in RNAcentral is "partial 16S ribosomal RNA". It matches the Rfam family "Bacterial small subunit ribosomal RNA", at positions 1 to 218 of the family's 1533-position model. Lineage: Bacteria; Pseudomonadati; Pseudomonadota; Gammaproteobacteria; Vibrionales; Vibrionaceae. The record is from RNAcentral.